Molecule: ribosomal RNA, 232 nt
Filed under: uncultured bacterium
Lineage: Bacteria
Description: partial 16S ribosomal RNA
Rfam family: Bacterial small subunit ribosomal RNA
Source: RNAcentral
GAUCCUGGCUCAGAUUGAACGCUGGCGGCAUGCUUUACACAUGCAAGUCGAACGGCAGCAUGGAGAGCUUGCUCUCUGAUGGCGAGUGGCGAACGGGUGAGUAAUACAUCGGAACGUGUCCUGUUGUGGGGGAUAACUACUCGAAACGAGUAGCUAAUACCGCAUAAGACCUAAGGGUGAAAGCGGGGGACCUUCGGGCCUCGCGCAGUUGGAGCGGCCGAUGACUGAUUAG